GACGUCGAAUAUCGACGUCAUAAACACAAAAGUUGGUCGUGUUUAUGUCUUCGAAUAUCGACAUCAUAAACACCAAAGUUGAUCAUGUUUAUGACGUCGAAUAUCGACGUUAUAAACACCAAAGUUGAUCGUGUUUAUGACGUCGAAUAUCGAUGUCAUGAACAUCAAAGUUGAUCGUGUUUAUGACGUCGAAUAUCGAUGUCAUGAACAUCAAAGUUGAUCGUGUUUAUGACGUCGAAUAUGGAAGUC
This is a non-coding RNA of Paramuricea clavata, 249 nucleotides long. Lineage: Eukaryota; Metazoa; Cnidaria; Anthozoa; Malacalcyonacea; Plexauridae. The record is from the annotation of a GenBank genome assembly.